Pan troglodytes (chimpanzee) is the source of this 2051-nucleotide long non-coding RNA. RefSeq lists it as uncharacterized. NCBI's taxonomy places the organism in Eukaryota, Metazoa, Chordata, Mammalia, Primates, Hominidae. The transcript is spliced from 2 exons. The record is from RefSeq and is a predicted model, not a curated record.
GGGGACCUGGAGAACCUUUGUGUCUAGCUCAGGGAUUGUAAACGCAGCAAUCAGUGCCCUGUCAAAACAGACCACUCAGUUCUACCAAUCAGCAGGAUGUGGGUGGGGCCAGAUAAGAGAAUAAAAGCAGGCUGCCCCAGCCAGCAGUGGCAACCCGCUCGGGUCCCCUUCCACACUGUGGAAGCUUUGUUCUUUUGCUCUUUGCAAUAAAUCUUGCUGCUGCUCACUCUUAGGGUCCACACUUCCUUUAUGAGCUGUAACACUCACCGUGAAGGUCUGCAGCUUCACUCCUGAAGCCAGCGAGACCACAAGCCCACCGGGAGGAACAAACAACUCCAGAUGCGCCGCCUUAAGAGCUGUAAUACUCACCACGAAGGUCUGCAGCUUCACUGCUGAGCCAGCGAGACCACGAACCCACCAGAAGAAAGAAACUCCUAACACAUCCGAACAUCAGAAGGAAGAAACUCCAGACGUGCCAUCUUAAGAGCUGUAACACUCACCGUGAAGGUCUGCAGCUUCAUUGUUGAAGUCAGUGAGACCAAGAACCCACCAAUUCCGGACACAGAAGGACGAGGAAUGAAGGGUGUUCCGUGUUGGAAUGUGACUUCUAAAGACGCUCCAUAAUAUGUCAUCACAUUUGCUCCAGCAAGAAAAGAAAAGCUCUUCCCAGAUCAGCCCUCACCUCGGGUCUCCAGCCACAGUGGCCUUUCUGGACCAGCCGUCCUGGCACCUGCUCAUCCCUGUGUGUUUGCACUCAUCUCCCCUUAGUUCUGUUUGCAUGCCUGGCUCUUUUGCAUCUUCAGAUCUGUCCUCAAAUAUCACGUCUCCAGAGAGGCUUUUUCUAAAGUGGUGCCCCUCGGUCACUCUCAGUCCCAUCACCCUGUUUAAUUGCUCCCCAUCAUUUAUUGCAAUCAGUAGUGACUUUGUUGACUUGUUUACUGUGUUUUCCCACUAGAAAAUAAGAUCCCCAAACUUGGGGCUGCAUUGCGUCCACAACCGUGUUUCCAGUGCCUGGAACACAGUAGGUUCUUGAUAGACAAGACUGGAUUUCUAAAUGGUUACUUCUUCCCGGUAGACAGUAUCUUUUAAAUCCUGUAAAUGUAUUUAGAUUUUGGUUUCUUCUCUGCCUUUUUUAGACGAAAAACUAGUUUUCGAUGGAGAACAUUAUUUUGCACUUUUUCUUCCUGAAAAAUAAACCUGGUUUAUCAGGGAGAUGACUAUACUUUCUUUGAAAAUGAUGUGAGGGCUUUGAUGGCUUUAUGUUGCUCUUUAGAAAAAUCUCACAACUUUCAAUCCACUGGGAUGCAGGAGCACAUGGAACAUUGGUCCAUUAAAGUCCAAUUUUCAAAUAAUUGCUAUUGGAUUUUUUUAAAUCUUUCUUUCUUUUUCAACUGUGUGGAAGAAAUCACACUUUUGGAUGAAUUGUCUCAACACAUGUAAUUUCAAAGUCUAUGCUUCCAUGAAAGUCCUGCUCACAAUUGUUAUAGGCUGUGUCCCCCCCAAAUUUAUAUGUUGUAGCCCUAAUCCCCAAUGUGAUUUUAUUUGGAGAUAGAACCUUUAAGGAGGUAAUUCGAGCAAAUGGGGUCAUGGAUGUGGGGCCCUAAUCAGAUAGGACUCGUGUCCUUAUAAGAAAAUAAACAGACAUCACUAUCUCUUUCUCUCUUUCAUAUAAGCACACAGGAAAGGCCAUGUGAGGACACAGAGAAGGCAGCUGUCUACAAGCCAAGGACAGGGACUGAUGUGGUUUGGCUCUGUCCCCACCCAAAUCUUGUCUUGAAUUGUGGUUCCCAUGGUCCCCACGUGUGGUGGUGGGACCUGGUGGGAGGUAGUUGAAUCAUGGGGGCAGUUACGCCAAUACUGCUGUUCUCAUGACAGUGAAUGGGUCUCAUGAAAUCUGAUGGUUUUAUGGAGGGCAGUUCCCCUGCACAUGCUCUCUUGCCUGCAACCAUGUAACAUGUGACUACUCCUCCUCCUUUGCCUUACACCAUGAUUGUGAGGCCUCACUAGCCAUGUGGAACUGUGAGUCAAUUAAACCUCUUUCCUUUAUAUAU